ACACCUGAUGUGGACUGUGGUCUGUGUUGGAUGUUGCUGUUCAGUCUGUGUCCUGUCUCUGCUCUCCUCUCCUCUCUCCUCUCCUCCACCUGUGUCUACUCCUUCUGCAGAACAACAGCUCCAACUGAGACUCAUGUUCCUCUGAACAGGACGACCACCAGGGGAAGUGACAGCAGAGAGCAGACUACAGUCAGACAAAGUAUGAGACCUGUACCAUCCAACAAUACCAGCAGAGUGAGACCUAUACCAUCCAUCAAUACCAGCAGAGUGAGACCUAUACCAUCCAUCAAUACCAGCAGAGUGAGACCUAU
Long non-coding RNA from Oncorhynchus kisutch (coho salmon), 311 nucleotides. RefSeq lists it as uncharacterized. The record is from RefSeq and is a predicted model, not a curated record. The transcript has 3 exons. Lineage: Eukaryota; Metazoa; Chordata; Actinopteri; Salmoniformes; Salmonidae.